This 259-nucleotide ribosomal RNA is filed under the name uncultured bacterium. RNAcentral describes it as "partial 16S ribosomal RNA". It matches the Rfam family "Bacterial small subunit ribosomal RNA", at positions 793 to 1055 of the family's 1533-position model. The record is from RNAcentral.
GUCCUAGCCGUAACGGUGCACGUUGCUGUAAAGGAAUCGACCCUUUGUGGCGUAGCCAACGCGUUAAACGUGCCGCCUGGGAAGUACGGUCGCAAGAUUAAACUCAAAGAAUUGACGGGGCCUGCACAAGCGGUGGAGUAUGUGGCUCAAUUCGAUGCAACGCGAAGAACCUUACCUGGCCUUGACAUGUACGUAGUAGAAGGGUGAAAGCCUGACGAGGUAGCAAUACCAGCGUACACAGGUGCUGCAUGGCUGUCGU